AGCAGCAGCCGCGGUAAUACCGAGGGUGCGAGCGUUAAUCGGAUUUACUGGGCGUAAAGCGUGCGUAGGCGGCUUCUUAAGUCGGAUGUGAAAUCCCUGAGCUUAACUUAGGAAUUGCAUUCGAUACUGGGAAGCUAGAGUAUGGGAGAGGAUGGUAGAAUUCCAGGUGUAGCGGUGAAAUGCGUAGAGAUCUGGAGGAAUACCGAUGGCGAAGGCAGCCAUCUGGCCUAAUACUGACGCUGAGGUACGAAAGCAUGGGGAGCAAACAGGAUUAGAGACCCCUGUAGUCCCUGUCUCUUAUAC
Molecule: ribosomal RNA, 303 nt
Filed under: uncultured bacterium
Lineage: Bacteria
Description: partial 16S ribosomal RNA
Rfam family: Bacterial small subunit ribosomal RNA
Source: RNAcentral